AACGAACGCUGGCGGCAUGCCUAACACAUGCAAGUCGAACGAGACCUUCGGGUCUAGUGGCGCACGGGUGCGUAACGCGUGGGAACCUGCCCUUAGGUUCGGAAUAACUCUCCGACAGGGGUGCUAAUACCGGAUAAUGUCUUCGGACCAAAGAUUUAUCGCCUUUGGAUGGGCCCGCGUUGGAUUAGCUAGUUGGUAGGGUAAAAGCCUACCAAGGCGACGAUCCAUAGCUGGUUUGAGAGGAUGAUCAGCCACACUGGGACUGAGACACGGCCCAGACUCCUACGGGAGGCAGCAGUGGGGAAUAUUGGACAAUGGGCGAAAGCCUGAUCCAGCAAUGCCGCGUGAGUGAUGAAGGCCGUAGGGUUGUAAAGCUCUUUUACCCGGGAUGAUAAUGACAGUACCGGGAGAAUAAGCUCCGGCUAACUCCGUG
This 433-nucleotide ribosomal RNA is filed under the name uncultured bacterium. RNAcentral describes it as "partial 16S ribosomal RNA". It matches the Rfam family "Bacterial small subunit ribosomal RNA", at positions 29 to 507 of the family's 1533-position model. The record is from RNAcentral.